Molecule: ribosomal RNA, 1333 nt
Filed under: metagenome
Description: bacterial LSU rRNA
Rfam family: Bacterial large subunit ribosomal RNA
Source: RNAcentral
UACCGAAUGAAAGUAGGGAAGUGUGUGAGCCAUGAAUCAAGAAAAGCCGCUAUUGUUUUUAAGAUACCCGUACCGUAAACCGACACAGGUGGAUGAGGAGAGAAUCCUAAGGCCGGCGGAAGAAGCAUUGUUAAGGAACUCGGCAAAAUGACCCCGUAACUUCGGGAGAAGGGGUGCCAACGAGAGUUGGCCGCAGAGAAUAGGCUCAAGCAACUGUUUAGCAAAAACACAGGUCUAUGCAAAACCGUAAGGUGAGGUAUAUGGGCUGACGCCUGCCCGGUGCUGGAAGGUUAAGAGGAGAGGUUAGCGCAAGCGAAGCUUUGAAUUUAAGCCCCAGUAAACGGCGGCCGUAACUAUAACGGUCCUAAGGUAGCGAAAUUCCUUGUCGGGUAAGUUCCGACCCGCACGAAAGGCGUAAUGAUUUGAGCGCUGUCUCGACAAUGCAUCCGGUGAAAUUGAAGUACCAGUGAAGAUGCUGGUUACCCGCGCCAGGACGGAAAGACCCCAUGGAGCUUUACUCCAGUUUGGUACUGGGGUCCGGCAGUGCAUGUACAGGAUAGGUGGGAGGCUGUGAACCUGGAACGCCAGUUUCAGGGGAGCCAUUGUUGGGAUACCACCCUUGUGCUGCUGGGCUUCUAACCAGCGGCCUUUAUCAGGCCGGGGAACAAUGCCAGACGGGGAGUUUGACUGGGGCGGUCGCCUCCGAAAGGGUAUCGGAGGCGCUCAAAGGUUCCCUCAGAAUGGUCGGAAACCAUUCGAAGAGUGCAAAGGCAGAAGGGAGCUUGACUGCGACACCGACGGGUGGAGCAGGUACGAAAGUAGGACUUAGUGAUCCGGUGGUAUUAAGUGGGAAUGCCAUCGCUCAACGGAUAAAAGCUACCCUGGGAUAACAGGCUUAUCACUCCCAAGAGUUCACAUCGACGGAGUGGUUUGGCACCUCGAUGUCGGCUCAUCGCAUCCUGGGGCUGUAGUAGGUCCCAAGGGUUGGGCUGUUCGCCCAUUAAAGCGGUACGCGAGCUGGGUUCAGAACGUCGUGAGACAGUUCGGUCCCUAUCCGGCGUGGGCGUAGGAUAUUUGAGAGGAGCUGUCCUUAGUACGAGAGGACCGGGAUGGACUGACCUCUGGUGUACCGGUUGAACCGCCAGGUUCACGGCCGGGUAGCCAAGUCGGGAAGGGAUAAACGCUGAAGGCAUCUAAGCGUGAAGCCCCCCUCAAGAUGAGAUAUCCCAUUCGAAAGAACUAAGACCCCUUGAAGACGACGAGGUAGAUAGGGCAGAGGUGGAAGUGCCGUAAGGCAUGGAGCUGACUGUUACUAAUCGGUCGAGGGCUUGAC